Molecule: ribosomal RNA, 912 nt
Filed under: Aspergillus sojae
Lineage: Eukaryota; Fungi; Ascomycota; Eurotiomycetes; Eurotiales; Aspergillaceae
Description: LSU rRNA
Rfam family: Eukaryotic large subunit ribosomal RNA
Source: RNAcentral
GCAUAUCAAUAAGCGGAGGAAAAGAAACCAACCGGGAUUGCCUCAGUAACGGCGAGUGAAGCGGCAAGAGCUCAAAUUUGAAAGCUGGCUCCCUUCGGGGUCCGCAUUGUAAUUUGCAGAGGAUGCUUCGGGUGCGGCCCCUGUCUAAGUGCCCUGGAACGGGCCGUCAGAGAGGGUGAGAAUCCCGUCUGGGAUGGGGUGUCCGCGCCCGUGUGAAGCUCCUUCGACGAGUCGAGUUGUUUGGGAAUGCAGCUCUAAAUGGGUGGUAAAUUUCAUCUAAAGCUAAAUACUGGCCGGAGACCGAUAGCGCACAAGUAGAGUGAUCGAAAGAUGAAAAGCACUUUGAAAAGAGAGUUAAAAAGCACGUGAAAUUGUUGAAAGGGAAGCGCUUGCGACCAGACUCGCCUCCAGGGUUCAGCCGGCAUUCGUGCCGGUGUACUUCCCUGGGGGCGGGCCAGCGUCGGUUUGGGCGGCCGGUCAAAGGCUCCCGGAAUGUAGUGCCCUCCGGGGCACCUUAUAGCCGGGAGUGCAAUGCGGCCAGCCUGGACCGAGGAACGCGCUUCGGCACGGACGCUGGCAUAAUGGUCGUAAACGACCCGUCUUGAAACACGGACCAAGGAGUCUAACAUCUACGCGAGUGUUCGGGUGUCAAACCCGUACGCGCAGUGAAAGCGAACGGAGGUGGGAGCCCCCUCGUGGGGCGCACCAUCGACCGAUCCUGAAGUCUUCGGAUGGAUUUGAGUAAGAGCGUAAAUGUGGGGACCCGAAAGAUGGUGAACUAUGCCUGAAUAGGGCGAAGCCAGAGGAAACUCUGGUGGAGGCUCGCAGCGGUUCUGACGUGCAAAUCGAUCGUCAAAUUUGGGUAUAGGGGCGAAAGACUAAUCGAACCAUCUAGUAGCUGGUUCCUGCCGA